CUAAAUACUACCCAGUGACCGAUAGCGUAUAGUACUGUGAAGGAAAGGUGAAAAGCACCCCGGGAGGGGAGUGAAAAAGAACCUGAAACCCUGUGCCUACAAGCACCUAGAGCACGUCAAUGUGUGAUAGGGUACUUUUUGUAGAACGGUCCGGCGAGCGAUUGUAUGCAGCAAGGUUAAGGACUUAAGGUCUGGAGCCGAAGCGAAAGCGAGUUUGAAAAGGGCGUUAAGUUGCAUAUAAUGGGCCCGAAACCGGGUGACCUACCCAUGGUCAGGUUGAAGUGGAAGUAAAAUUCCAUGGAGGACCGAACCGACCUCCGUUGAAAAGGCGGCGGAUGAACUGUGGGUAGCGGAGAAAUUCCAAUCGAACCCGGAGAUAGCUGGUUCUCCCCGAAAUAGUUUUAGGACUAGCCUCAAGUUAGAUACCUGGAGGUAAAGCACUGAAUAGCCUAGCGGCCGAGAGGUUAGCGAAGCUUAUCAAACUCAGAAUGCCAGAGUAUUGAUGCUUGGGAGUCAGACAGUGUCAGAUAAAUGUCAUUGUCAAAAGGGAAACAGCCCAGAUCUACAGCUAAGGUCCCAAAGUCAGGUUAAGUGGAAAACGAUGUGAAGAUACGUAGACAACCAGGAUGUUGGCUCAGAAGCAGCCACACAUUCAAAGAGUGCGUAAUAGCUCACUGGUCGAGCGUCUUUGCGCGGAGAAUUUAACGGGGCUAAACCUGACACCGAAGCUUAGGCAAUACAGAAAUGUAUUGGGUAGGGGAGCGUUGUAUACGCGGAGAAACAGUAGCGCAAGCGGCUGUGGAGUGUAUAGAAGUGAGAAUGCCGGAAUGAGUAGCGCGAAUGCAGUGAGAAUCUGCAUGGCCGAAAGCCUCAGGUUUCUGGAGGAAGGUUCGUCCGCUCCAGGUUAGUCGGGAGCUAAGGUGAGGCCGAAAGGCGUAGCCGAUGCACAGACGGUAGAGAUUCCGUCACCACCAAAAGAGUUAAGCACAGGGACACAUUUGAAGUCUCGGAGCCGGGUGUUGGUUCCGGUAGCGAUCGAGGGAAAUUAGUACCGAAGUCCGGGAUGGAAGAUGGCGAGAAAAGCUGUGUGUAUUUCUGCGGUGCCCGUACCGCAAACCGACACAGGUAGGUAGGAAGAAGAUUCUAAGGCCAACGGGAGAAGGGUUGUUAAGGAACUCGGCAAAUUGACCCCGUAACUUCGGGAGAAGGGGUGCUCCAGAGAUGGAGCCGCAGAGAAUCGGCCCAAGCAACUGUUUACCAAAAACACAGGUUUGUGCUAAAUCGAAAGAUGACGUAUACGAGCUGACGCCUGCCCGGUGCUGGAAGGUUAAGAGGAGAUGUGCAAGCAUUGAAUCGAAGCCCCAGUGAACGGCGGCCGUAACUAUAACGGUCCUAAGGUAGCGAAAUUCCUUGUCAGGUAAG
RNAcentral lists this ribosomal RNA (1422 nucleotides) under human gut metagenome. RNAcentral describes it as "bacterial LSU rRNA". It matches the Rfam family "Bacterial large subunit ribosomal RNA", at positions 466 to 1980 of the family's 2925-position model. The record is from RNAcentral.